Molecule: ribosomal RNA, 477 nt
Filed under: uncultured bacterium
Lineage: Bacteria
Description: partial 16S ribosomal RNA
Rfam family: Bacterial small subunit ribosomal RNA
Source: RNAcentral
ACGAACGCUGGCGGCGUGCUUAACACAUGCAAGUCGCACGUGAUUUUUGUGGAAAUUCUUUCGGGAAUGGAAAUGAAAUGAAAGUGGCGAACGGGUGAGUAACACGUGAGCAACCUACCUUACACAGGGGGAUAGCCGUUGGAAACGACGAUUAAUACCGCAUGAGACCACAGAAUCGCAUGAUAUAGGGGUCAAAGAUUUAUCGGUGUAAGAAGGGCUCGCGUCUGAUUAGCUAGUUGGAAGGGUAAAGGCCUACCAAGGCGACGAUCAGUAGCCGGUCUGAGAGGAUGAACGGCCACAUUGGAACUGAGACACGGUCCAAACUCCUACGGGAGGCAGCAGUGGGGAAUAUUGCACAAUGGGGGGAACCCUGAUGCAGCGACGCCGCGUGAGCGAAGAAGGUUUUCGAAUCGUAAAGCUCUGUCCUAUGAGAAGAUAAUGACGGUAUCAUAGGAGGAAGCCCCGGCUAAAUACGUG